UACAGAGGUCUCAAGCGUUGUUCGGAUUCAUUGGGCGUAAAGGGCGCGUAGGCUGCGGGGCAAGUCGGGUGUGAAAUCUCGGAGCUUAACUCCGAAACUGCAUUCGAUACUGCCGUGCUUGAGGACUGGAGAGGAGACUGGAAUUUACGGUGUAGCGGUGAAAUGCGUAGAUAUCGUAAGGAAGACCAGUGGCGAAGGCAGGUCUCUGGACAGUUCCUGACGCUGAGGCACGAAGGUCAGGGGAGCAAACGGG
This 253-nucleotide ribosomal RNA is filed under the name uncultured bacterium. RNAcentral describes it as "partial 16S ribosomal RNA". It matches the Rfam family "Bacterial small subunit ribosomal RNA", at positions 524 to 776 of the family's 1533-position model. The record is from RNAcentral.